RNAcentral lists this ribosomal RNA (817 nucleotides) under uncultured bacterium. RNAcentral describes it as "bacterial SSU rRNA". It matches the Rfam family "Bacterial small subunit ribosomal RNA", at positions 617 to 1431 of the family's 1533-position model. The record is from RNAcentral.
GGUUUUGCAGUGGGUACGGGCUAACUAGAGUGCAGUAGGGGAGACUGGAAUUCCUGGUGUAGCGGUGGAAUGCGCAGAUAUCAGGAGGAACACCGAUGGCGAAGGCAGGUNUCUGGGCUGUAACUGACGCUGAGAAGCGAAAGCAUGGGGAGCGAACAGGAUUAGAUACCCUGGUAGUCCAUGCCGUAAACAUUGGGCACUAGGUGUGGGGGACAUUCCACGUUUUCCGCGCCGUAGCUAACGCAUUAAGUGCCCCGCCUGGGGAGUACGGCCGCAAGGCUAAAACUCAAAGAAAUUGACGGGGGCCCGCACAAGCGGCGGAGCAUGCGGAUUAAUUCGAUGCAACGCGAAGAACCUUACCAAGGCUUGACAUAUACUGGACUGCGUCAGAGAUGGCGUUUCCCUUCGGGGCUGGUAUACAGGUGGUGCAUGGUUGUCGUCAGCUCGUGUCGUGAGAUGUUGGGUUAAGUCCCGCAACGAGCGCAACCCUCGUUCUAUGUUGCCAGCACGUGAUGGUGGGGACUCAUAGGAGACUGCCGGGGUCAACUCGGAGGAAGGUGGGGAUGACGUCAAAUCAUCAUGCCCCUUAUGUCUUGGGCUUCACGCAUGCUACAAUGGCCGGUACAGAGGGUUGCGAUACUGUGAGGUGGAGCUAAUCCCUAAAAGCCGGUCUCAGUUCGGAUUGGGGUCUGCAACUCGACCCCAUGAAGUCGGAGUCGCUAGUAAUCGCAGAUCAGCAACGCUGCGGUGAAUACGUUCCCGGGCCUUGUACACACCGCCCGUCAAGUCACGAAAGUUGGUAACACCCGAAGCCGGU